This 494-nucleotide ribosomal RNA is filed under the name uncultured bacterium. RNAcentral describes it as "partial 16S ribosomal RNA". It matches the Rfam family "Bacterial small subunit ribosomal RNA", at positions 28 to 507 of the family's 1533-position model. The record is from RNAcentral.
GACGAACGCUGGCGGCGUGCUUAACACAUGCAAGUCGAACGGUGAAGCGCCUUCCUUUUUGGUGGGUGUGGAUGGGUGGCGAACGGGUGAGUAACACGUGAGUAACCUGCCCCCUUCUUCUGGAUAACCGCAUGAAAGUGUGGCUAAUACGGGAUAUUCUGGGUCUGUCGCAUGAUGGGUCUGGGAAAGAUAUUGUUUCGGUGGGGGAUGGGCUCGCGGCCUAUCAGCUUGUUGGUGGGGUGAUGGCCUACCAAGGCGGUGACGGGUAGCCGGCCUGAGAGGGUGGACGGUCACACUGGGACUGAGACACGGCCCAGACUCCGACGGGAGGCAGCAGUGGGGAAUAGGGCACAAUGGGCGCAAGCCUGAUGCAGCGACGCCGCGUGAGGGAUGGAGGCCUGCGGGUUGUGAACCUCUUUCGCCAGUGAAGCAGGCCUGCCUCGUUUGUGGGUGGGUUGACGGUAGCUGGAUAAGAAGCGCCGGCUAACUACGUG